AUUUAGGUGCUGAGUUAGGUGAUGCAAUGCAACGCAAAGGUGGAACCAGUUCUGUCAUUGAAUCCCACUGACAUUCUAUGAUCUGUUUUACCGAGAUGAGAACAAUAAUUUGAGAUGCACCCUGAGCACAAAACGAUUAAGCGCUCAAUUGACCUAGCAAGCCUGCGAGUCUUGGUAUUCGGAAAAAGAGGAAGGGCUCGAUUCUCAUGUAUACAACACCACUCCGUUUUGAUUUCACAUCGGCACGAACUCAUUGCCACACCGAGGUGGCUAUUGUAGCUGCUGCAAUGCGAUGUAAAAUGAAAUCCGCUCAAAGAUUGUCUCCGGUGCAAGUCCUUGGCGAUCAACUUUU
Lytechinus pictus (painted urchin) is the source of this 352-nucleotide long non-coding RNA. RefSeq lists it as uncharacterized. The record is from RefSeq and is a predicted model, not a curated record. The transcript has 3 exons. Lineage: Eukaryota; Metazoa; Echinodermata; Echinoidea; Temnopleuroida; Toxopneustidae.